UACGGAGGGUGCAAGCGUUAUCCGGAUUCACUGGGUUUAAAGGGUGCGUAGGGGGAUUAGUAAGUCAGUGGUGAAAUCUCCGGGCUUAACCCGGAAACUGCCAUUGAUACUAUUAGUCUUGAAUACCGUGGAGGUCAGCGGAAUAUGUCAUGUAGCGGUGAAAUGCUUAGAUAUGACAUAGAACACCAAUUGCGAAGGCAGCUGGCUACACGAGCAUUGGCACUCAGGCACGAAAGCGUGGGGAUCAAACAGG
Molecule: ribosomal RNA, 253 nt
Filed under: uncultured bacterium
Lineage: Bacteria
Description: partial 16S ribosomal RNA
Rfam family: Bacterial small subunit ribosomal RNA
Source: RNAcentral